AUUGAACGCUGGCGGCAGGCCUAACACAUGCAAGUCGAACGAGUGGCGGACGGGUGAGUAAUGUCUGGGAAACUGCCUGAUGGAGGGGGAUAACUACUGGAAACGGUAGCUAAUACCGCAUACCAUCAGAUGUGCCCAGAUGGGAUUAGCUAGUCGGUGGGGUAAAGGCUCACCUAGGCGACGAUCCCUAGCUGGUCUGAGAGGAUGACGGGCCACACUGGGACUGAGACACGGUCCAGACUCCGACGGGAGGCAGCAGUGUGGAAUAUGGCGCAAUGGGCGAAAGCCUGAUGCAGCAAUGCCGCGUGUAUGAAGAAGGCCUUCGGGUUGUAAAGUACUUUCAGCAGGGAAGCGUUACCUGAAGAAGAAGCACCGGCUAACUCCGUGCCAGCAGCCGCGGUAAUUC
This 406-nucleotide ribosomal RNA is filed under the name uncultured bacterium. RNAcentral describes it as "partial 16S ribosomal RNA". It matches the Rfam family "Bacterial small subunit ribosomal RNA", at positions 30 to 526 of the family's 1533-position model. The record is from RNAcentral.